Molecule: small nuclear RNA, 191 nt
Organism: Neoarius graeffei (lesser salmon catfish)
Lineage: Eukaryota; Metazoa; Chordata; Actinopteri; Siluriformes; Ariidae
Product: U2 spliceosomal RNA
Exons: 1
Source: RefSeq, a predicted model, not a curated record
AUUGCUUUUCGGCCUUUUGGCUAAGAUCAAGUGUAAUAUCUGUUCUUAUCAGUUUAAUAUCUGAUAUGUUCUCUAGAUGAGAGCGUUAUAUUAAACAGGUUUUUAUAACAGGGAGCUGGAAUAAGAGCUUGCUCUUUCUGUUCUAUGCGUUAACUCGGUAUUGUAGUACUUCCGCGAAUGGUGCCCUUGCU